CCCUUGAAAGCACAAGAAAAGCAGACUAAGGGCCGAGCCUCAUUAAAACCUUUUUGCAGAAAACCCAGUGGGAAAAACCGCAAAAAGGAAAAAGAGUACCCGUCUAAAAGACAAAAGCAGAAAAGGGAGAGAGCGGAAGGGAAAGUUUCCAGAACUCCGGCCUAACCAUCGUCCCCAAACAAACCCGGCUCUCCACCCAAGAAAACAAAACAAAGGCCAAAGGCCAGUUAGACGCCGUCGCCUAAAAGCCAACAAAAAACAAACACAAAACAAAAAG
This 277-nucleotide long non-coding RNA is filed under the name Salvia miltiorrhiza (redroot sage). RNAcentral's name for it is "long non-coding RNA (SMIL_LNC002669)". The record is from RNAcentral. Lineage: Eukaryota; Viridiplantae; Streptophyta; Magnoliopsida; Lamiales; Lamiaceae.